UAUGAAUCUAGGCAGAGAUGGCAUCUGUUUUUCUUCCAAAUAAUCGAAGAGAUGACUCAAAAUUGAGAUCCAUCCCACCAAUCCAGGCAAGAGUUUUGGAAAUUUAUCUUGGUAGCUUCCUUCACAAUCACCACACUUCUCUUAAUUAUCCCAUUUUAAUACAUAGAUGGCAACCCAGUCCCCACUGUCUUCUUCAAAGGCCUCCCAACAACAUUCCAAGCUUUUGUUGUGUGCCUCGUCUUCUCUUAAUAAUCCCAUUUGAAUACAUAGAUGGCAACCCAGUUCCAACUGUCAUAUCCUUUUCUGGUUCGUUGAGUGCGUUGCUAAUCCGUGACAAGUCCUUGCUUCCUAAGUUCUGUGGGUACUCUUCCAUGGCUUCCAUGACAUCUGCUGUCUCUCUCUUGCAAAUCGAAGAGAUGACUCAAAAUUGAGCUCCAUCCCACCAAUCCAGGCAAGAGUUUUGGAAAUUUAUCUCGGUAGCUUCCUUCACAAUCACCACACUUCUCUUAAUUAUCCCAUUUUAAUACAUAGAUGGCAACCCAGUCCCCACUGUCUUCUUCAAAGGCCUCCCAACAACAUUCCAAGCUUUUGUUGUGUGCCUCGUCUUCUCUUAAUAAUCCCAUUUGAAUACAUAGAUGGCAACCCAGUUCCAACUGUCAUAUCCUUUUCUGGUUCGUUGAGUGCGUUGCUAAUCCGUGACACGUCCUUGCUUGCUAAGUUCUGAAUACAGGGUGCUGUGUUCCAUCAUGGAGAUCAAUAUCAAGCUUUUAUUUCGACCAUGUUUGGGCAGGUAUGGAUGUCCCAGUCUGUAUGAAAAACUAAGUCUCUGUUAAUUUACUGUCUGUGUUUGUUGUGUUUUUGUUAAGUUUAGAAAUAAACCAUUGUUUUUAUGCAGACUGGGACAUCCAUAUCCCAAACAUGGUGUAAAGCAAGAAAGAGAGAGAGAGAGAGAGAGAGAGAGAGAGAGCAGAUGCCAUGGAAGUCAUGGAAUAAUACUCACAGAACCUAGCAAGCAAGGACGUGUCACGGAUUAGCAACGCACUCAACGAACCAGAAAAGGAGAAGACGAGGCACACAACAAAAUCUUGGAAUGCUGUUGGGAGACCUUUGAAGAAGGCAGUGGGGACUGGGUUACCAUCUCUGUAUUCAAAAUGGGAUUAUUAAGAGAAAUGUGGUGAUUGUGAAGGAAGCUACCAAGAUAAAUUUCCAAAAGUCAUGUCUGGAUUGACAUCUCUGCCUAGAUCCUUUACGAGUCAGGAUCAUCUGCCGUACUUUCCUGCCGUGGUUCAAAACGACCCCAUUUUGGACCUUUUUUUUAUUUUUUAUUUUAUUUUCUUAUUUUGCUUUUCAGCCUCAUUACAGCGCUCUCUCUCUCUCUCUCUCUUCUCUAUGUCUCUGUCUUCUCUGUCUCUACGAGCUCAAGGCAAAAGAACGCCAUGUCCAGCCCAUGAGAAGGACGAGAAAGAGAACUCAACAACACUCAUCAAAGUCGAAUCAUAUUCUUCAGUUUAUGAGAAAUUGGAAGCUCUAAAAAGCCUCAUACCCACCCACGACCAAGAGAGAAAGGCCGACCAGCUCUUCCAAGAAACCACCGACUACAUUGUUCUUCUCAAACUCGUCGAUUUCUAUGGCUCUAAUCAAACCCAGAAUUCCUUAUAGUGAUUUUCCCAUUUUCAUCAAUCAAGAAGAACAUAUAUGUAAUAUAUAUAUAGAGAUGGUUGAUCGAGAGAUCGGUUGAUCGAUUUCUUUAUUUUCUAUUUUAGCUUUUGUAUUACAUUGUAUGACUACCUCUUUGAACUUCUAAAUAGUAGAAUUUCCCUCA
Non-coding RNA from Camellia sinensis, 1822 nucleotides. NCBI's taxonomy places the organism in Eukaryota, Viridiplantae, Streptophyta, Magnoliopsida, Ericales, Theaceae. The record is from RefSeq and is a predicted model, not a curated record.